RNAcentral lists this ribosomal RNA (253 nucleotides) under uncultured bacterium. RNAcentral's name for it is "partial 16S ribosomal RNA". It matches the Rfam family "Bacterial small subunit ribosomal RNA", at positions 524 to 776 of the family's 1533-position model. The record is from RNAcentral.
UACGGAGGGUGCGAGCGUUGUCCGGAAUCACUGGGCGUAAAGGGCGCGUAGGCGGCGCGGAUAGUCGGCGGUGAAAGCCCGGAGCUCAACUCCGGGUCGGCCGUCGAUACUUCCGGGCUUGAGCACUGUAGAGGCAGAUGGAAUUCCGGGUGUAGCGGUGGAAUGCGUAGAGAUCCGGAAGAACACCGGUGGCGAAGGCGGUCUGCUGGGCCAAGACUGACGCUGAGGCGCGACAGCGUGGGGAGCAAACAGG